CCUACGGGUGGCAGCAGUGAGGAAUAUUGGUCAAUGGUCGGGAGACUGAACCAGCCAAGCCGCGUGAGGGAUGAAGGUCCAGAGUAUCGUAAACCUCUUUUGUCAGGGAACAAAGGCGGGGACGUGUCCCCGGAUUCGUGUCCCUCAAGAACAAGCAUCGGCUAACUCCGUGCCAGCAGCCGCGGUAAUACGGAGGAUGCGGGCGUUAUCCGGAUUUAUUGGGUUAAAGGGGUGCGCAGGCGGUACGUUAAGCCAGAGGUAAAAGCCCGGGGCCAAACCCCAGCCCGCCGUUGAAACUGGCAGGCUGGAGUGGGAGAGAAGUAGGCGGAAUGCGCGGUGUAGCGGUGAAAUGCAUAGAUAUCGCGAAGAACUCCGAUUGCGAAGGCAGCAUGCCGGCUCCAAACUGACGCUGAGGCACGAAAGCGUGGGUAUCGAACAGGAUUAGAUACCCGAGUAGUC
This 459-nucleotide ribosomal RNA is filed under the name uncultured bacterium. RNAcentral describes it as "partial 16S ribosomal RNA". It matches the Rfam family "Bacterial small subunit ribosomal RNA", at positions 338 to 795 of the family's 1533-position model. The record is from RNAcentral.